UACGGAGGGUGCAAGCGUUAUCCGGAUUCACUGGGUUUAAAGGGUGCGUAGGUGGGCAGGUAAGUCAGUGGUGAAAUCCCCAAGCUUAACUUGGGAACUGCCAUUGAUACUAUUUGUCUUGAAUACCGUGGAGGUGAGCGGAAUAUGUCAUGUAGCGGUGAAAUGCUUAGAUAUGACAUAGAACACCAAUUGCGAAGGCAGCUUGCUACGCGGAUAUUGACACUGAUGCGCGAAAGCGUGGGGAUCAAACAGG
This 253-nucleotide ribosomal RNA is filed under the name uncultured bacterium. RNAcentral describes it as "partial 16S ribosomal RNA". It matches the Rfam family "Bacterial small subunit ribosomal RNA", at positions 524 to 776 of the family's 1533-position model. The record is from RNAcentral.